Molecule: ribosomal RNA, 253 nt
Filed under: uncultured bacterium
Lineage: Bacteria
Also listed under: 1 other name
Description: partial 16S ribosomal RNA
Rfam family: Bacterial small subunit ribosomal RNA
Source: RNAcentral
UACGGAGGGUGCGAGCGUUGUCCGGAAUCACUGGGCGUAAAGGGCGCGUAGGCGGUCUGUUAAGCGUGUGGUGAAAGCUCGGGGCUCAACCCCGAGUCUGCCAUGCGAACUGGUGGACUUGAGCACUGUAGAGGCAGGUGGAAUUCCGGGUGUAGCGGUGGAAUGCGUAGAGAUCCGGAAGAACACCGGUGGCGAAGGCGGCCUGCUGGGCAGUUGCUGACGCUGAGGCGCGACAGCGUGGGGAGCAAACAGG